Molecule: microRNA, 22 nt
Filed under: Pristionchus pacificus
Lineage: Eukaryota; Metazoa; Nematoda; Chromadorea; Rhabditida; Neodiplogasteridae
Description: ppc-miR-8364e-5p
Source: miRBase by way of RNAcentral
UCUUCAUUUGUCGUACUCUCUC